RNA transcript from Dromaius novaehollandiae (emu), 9602 nucleotides. RefSeq lists it as uncharacterized. The transcript is spliced from 14 exons. NCBI's taxonomy places the organism in Eukaryota, Metazoa, Chordata, Aves, Casuariiformes, Dromaiidae. The record is from RefSeq and is a predicted model, not a curated record.
AUUCCAGCCUCUUCUACAGGUAUUUAUCCUGGGAUGGAUAUCCUGUAUUUAUCCUCGAUGAUGAAUGUUUUGUAAAUAAAACAUAAACUACUGGAGGGGAGAAGACCAACAUCUGUGCUAUAGUUGCGUACCAUCUCCUAUAGUCCUUGUCUGAGACACUCUUUUCCGGGCAUUGUUAAUACUCACGAUUGGAAUCGCUCUCCGUUUACCUCGCCUGAUUCUGCUGGGACACCCGGGGGAUUUUCCAAGGCUACGAGCACAGGACUGUGUGGUGGUCAUUGCCAGGCAGUGAUGCUGCAGUAGAAGAUACUCUUUCCUGUGGUUUACCAAUAAACCAGCAGGACACUUUGCUGCUAGCAGCCCUAUACUACUGAGAAUUGUUUUUCAGACAGGACUGGAUACCUAAUUAUAAAGAAAUAUGGAAAAUUAUAGUGUGUCAGGAACCGUUAUGUCCUUUCAAGAAUCCUGUCUGACAGUCCGAUGAUGCUCAGGAAGCCAAGACCGUCCUGGUGCCGUCCCAGAGGAUAAGGAUUAACAACCUGGGAAGCAACGAAAGAAGAUUCACGCCGACGGGAGGAAGAAAGAUGCAUGUGUAGUUUGAGUUCAUCUUGGCAGAGUCAUGCUGCAAAUGCCAACCCGACAGUUUUAGUGCUGGCAGGAAAUGAAAUGUAGGAGGGGGCCUCGCAAGCGAUGGCUCGCUCUCGCUCAGCGUGAGCUACGGCGGGGAGGCUGCCGGCACUAAUAACCCCCCGCGUGCUCGAGGUGGCUCUCCUCUGCGAGUACACGUCAAGGUGACAAAAUACGCCAACAGACAGAUGAUUGUUCAUCUCGGGCUGUUGCUGCUCGGUGGCAAGAGAGAUGUGAGCUGAGAUGUUUUUGCCUCGGGCAACAAGAUGUAUCUAUGGAGAAGUUGAGGACGUGGCUGUACCUGAAUUACCUUUAAACUAGCUAGGACAACUGUGACAGCAGGGCGGCAGAGGUCAGCGCAGGCCACCAAAUUCACUUGGGACGCUAUGUAGAUACAGCAGGCUUUCUGUACGGAGCAAGCCAACGCUGGGAAACGCUUUACUUGCAGUUACCCCCUGAAAUAGUCCCACUGUGGUUUGAACAUGCAUCUCCAAGGGGAAAUUCAUGAUAGAUUUGGUCUUUGUGGCCACAGAAGUGGUGUAAACCUUUGUUGUCCUUCUCAGUCGUAUCUGUUGGAGUGCGGCACGAUGUGUCUGACCUGCUACCAUGUUGAGCUCUUCUACAUAAUUGCCCUAGUACCAGUAUUUCACAUUAGUUUUAACAGACACUUUUAGUGUUGUUACUUCUGGAGGAAAUUCCCCUGAGGCUUAAUGUCUGUCAGUCCAGAAUCCCGAGCAGGUUUCGGAGGAGAUUAUGUCCUUAGGGAAAGCGCCAGCAUUUUGUCUUACAAAUAGCUGAGGAAAGGAAAGUGUCACACUUCUCCCAAAACAAGUUCAAAAUCAGUUCAAACUAAGAUAUUGUGGCAUUUCUUCCUCUGCUUUGUGCAUCGGGAACAUGGGCUGCUGUAGCCUUGGCAGUAAAGAAAAAGACAGUAUGAUGCCAUUCAGACGUAAAAAGUCAGGAGUUAUAAAACACAGGGGUAUCUCCUGCCCCCUUUGAGGGGUAUCAAUGCGGGGACUGAGGCACAAGUGGGCAACGGGUUGGAUCCAGCACCAAGCAAAGGGUGCUGGGCUGGGCUGGCCCACGGGAUCGCGAGGGAAGGAGCUGGCGCAGGGUUAUCACUUGGGUCCUGCACCAUGAGCAGGGUGCUGGGCAGCCUUGUCUGGUUUUUAACCAGUUCCACCUAGCUUAGACCUUGCCCGGCUGCCUGGUGGAAGCUAUAGCAAGAAUAGCUGGGAUCUGUGAGCAUGCAAUGAAUUUCCUCCUGGAGAAGAAACACUGCUGCUUAUUAGGGUUUCCACAGCUCUUUAUGGCUGGCACCCCCUACCCAUACGGCAAAGUGGAACCCAGGGGGUUAAAUGUGAGCAAAAAGGGUUUUUUUUUUUUCUAUUCAAACUGGGUGCUUUGCUGCAGGUAUGUUGGAUCCCUGCUGGGUACAGCAGAGCUGGAAACCAAGGUGCUUUUGUAGAAGUUGUUUCUGUAUUGGUGGUAAAAAGAGGAAGGCUUUGAUGAGGCUUCCAGUAGUAGUGCACUGGUGACUGAGUUGUUUUUCCAGGAAAAGUGGCCAUCAAAGUGCUUAUUAGGAAAAAUAUUUUGAUUGAAUGCAACCCAGCAAACAUCUGCUGGUUGGAAAACGUUGAAAAUACGUUAUUUAUAUAUGUGUUUGGGGAAAGCUUUGCCACUCUUCAUAUGUUUGAAAUCACAGCCCCCUGAGUCUAAUGGAAAUGCGGUUUGCACCUGGGGGAGAAGAAGAAAGAAGAAUAACCCAAAGAAGAUGACUCUAGGAGGUGGUAACCCACACGCUGCUCUCAGUUGUGCUGCCUAAAUUUCAUCGGGGAAAUUGCUGUUCAUUUGUGAAACAGCUGUCACACUUCAGUUUUAUCAGGGUACACAUGGAAUAAUGAGAUUGUAUCUGCACAAAUAAAAUCAUGUCUUGCCUUUGAAAUUUAAGGCAGGAUUUUAGCUGGUAAGAAAAACAGCUUUAUUUAUUUAUUUUAUUAAAAGAGCACACUGUUGCCUUUCCAUUGUAACUUUCUGAAACUGGAAACUAAAAUCUCCCCAUUUCUUCCUUCUCCUCCCCUUUUGUUUUGCCACGAACACAUACAGCAUCCCAAAAUUUCCCCUCUCUCUGCUCUGCACAAACGAGCCAUGAGCUCGAAGGGUUGUCCACGUGGGAUAGAUUUUUGCAGGUGUUGUUGUAAUCUCCCCAGUUUGUUUGCUAUGACACAACGUGCUUUUAUAGGUUUUGUUUCUUACUAAGAGCUGGUUUUUCCUGCUCUGUCAUGGGCUAUAGAUUUUUUUUUCUUCUGCUUUACACAAGUUACAUGCCUUUGCUUUUGCAAAGCUAACUUUUCAUUCUAGCUCUGUCAAAGAAUUUAUCCUUGCAGCUACUUGCUGUUUCACAGAUCACAGCCAUUACAGGGAAAUCCGUGGCAAUACAGCACCUCCGUUAGGCAAGCUCUGCCCCAAAAGGCGAUACGAAGCAUAAUAAAUACAGUUCAUUUUCCUAUUUCUCAAAAGAUUCUCUUCAUUACGCUGCUGAGUUUUGCUAAUCUCCCCUGUGGCUACGUAAGACACAGGUUUGUCUGUGUUGAUUUUCCUCCGCAGAUCGUUGUAGCUCUCACGCACUUUGGACUCAUCUCGUGUGCUUGAUGCGGCUCGUUGCCUCUGGAUGCGCAGCAGGACAGAGGAAGCUGUUGUCGUAAGAAGGCAUCUGUGUAGAGAUCGUUUGUUGGACCUGGAGCUGGACUGGUUGGUAAAGGACCACAGAAGAUCUGUCCAUGUAGAAAGUGAGUUUAAUUGCUUGCUGCAGGUACCUGAAACUGAAAAUGCUUCUGCUUUGUGCAUGCUGAUACACACACCAUGGCCUCUCUGCCUCUUCAUGCAGAGCGGGUGAGCCAUAGUGAUUUGUGGAGCAGAAAGAACAGCUUCUGUCUUGCAGGGUAUUGGCAUAAAGACUUUGGCACGAGAAAGACACAGGCAGCUCCACUUAUAUAAUUUAGGAAGGAGAUUUCUCUGAGGAGACACAACCAGAUGCUGUGGCUGUUUUCAAGGUUUUCCAUUGUGCAUUCCUGUUGAGACUGAGCAGAAAUGUCUACAAAGCAUUUUGAAGUGACUCUCUUCAUCCCCGUAUGAAACCAGUGGAGGUUUUGCUUUCCUGGAGAACAAAACUGACAGACUAGAUCAAUUUAUUGCAGUUUGCAUGUGUUAAACAGGUAAAUGUGCACUGUAAGGCUGUACGGGAACUGCUAGGUUGGAGAUCGUACUGCUAGGCGGCUGCAGGAGCAAGGUACAGCGCCGUCACUGUUACAUGAGCGAAAGCACUGGGAUUCGGGAAGUCUGUUCUCCGUGGGGCAAAUCGCAGCUCUGGUCCCCUGGUGCAGUGCCAUGGAAACAGCAAAAUUACAAUAGUCCCUUUUGUCCAGGCCUUUGAGCCCUGGCGGUAAUUGGAGACCUUUGUAGUUCACCCCUGUCGACUGAGAGGUUUAGAAUAACGUGGAAGAGCGGUAAAUCCAUUAGUGGGCAAUGUUGGGGAGGCGGAGAGAGCGGGAAGGUACGGCCCAAGUUAGAGGGGAUCCAUAUUAGUUGGGUGGUGCGGACGCAUGACUCUGUUAUAGCCAUGGUGAGAGGAGGAAAGGCCUUUAGCAUUGGUUCUGCUGCUCCCCUGCUUGACGACUAUAAAAGUCACAGAUCUGGCUCCUUUUCUAUUCUCUGUUCUGCCUCCGUUUUCCCUGUCCAUAGCUGCACGUUCCUUUCUCCCUAAGGCAGCUCGUGUUAUGUAUAAAGUGUCUGAAAACGACUGGCAACCGUGUUUCUGGGAACUCUGGGUCCAAAUCUCAGCUGGAUGGGCCAACACAUCGUUCUGCCAUUACGGUAAGAGGACCAAAUGUUUGCGUAUGCUCCAAUGAGGCACGAUACACAUUCACGGCGUGACUUCAUUUUUCCUCCGUCUGGAAAAUGAGGCUGACAGUACUUGUUUCCCAAGUGACAUGGAAGAGCCAGUUGAAUGCACACGAAGGAUCUUGAUGUCGUCUGCGCUGACGCUCGUCUCCACGGCGCUCGGAGAGAGGCAGGCGCCAGUGGACCGAGCUUCCCCAGAGGAUGAGUUGGGAUCGUCCCUGGUGUCAGUCGUUUUCUCCUGCCGUCCUCCAGUCCGUUGCUCCUCGUCUCUCCCGCAAACCCAGGCCAGGCUGCCCUUUACCUCACUGUUAACGCUGUUUCGUAGCAACUGCAUCCUUCCCACUGUUUGACACCGAACAGUCGCCUGAACCUCCUCAAUGUCUUGCUGAGCAGGGCUGCCCAGCAAGGCAGGUGGGUACCGCUUGGCAAGGCUUCCCCUGACUACCCGGACUUGCCGUGCUGCUUCUUGUGCCCCUUCUCUCCCAGAAAACAGCCCAAUCCUGUAGGGGAGCAACCUGCCCCCCAGCCUUUUCUUUCCCAACACAACAUCUCCCUAGAAAGUGCGAAGGACGGAGAGAUGCAUUCAUUCUUGCAAUUGCCAGUUGUUCAAUAAGACACCUUAAUUCAUCAUUAGCCAGUUUUCAGGCUCAGGGAUGUUAAAGAUAAAACUCUGGAGUACUGGCCAUCGGUACUAGUAUCUGACUAGUGAGGAAGAAGAAAUGAUGUGCAAUUUCUGUAAAUGAGGUGGCUGGUUUGUUUUGUUGUUUUCUUGCGGCGCUCUGCUAGGCAGCUAGCAAGGGCCGGACAAGUCCCAUCGCGCCCAGAGUUAACAAUAAGAGAAUGAUAUAAACGGUAAUUUUUUGGCAAAGGCAAACAGUCACAUUCGGCUCUCUGCUUCAUUAGAGAAAAAUAUGUAGGAAUUCGAGUGCAGUCAGCAGAGCAAUUCUAGAUUUACAUCCAGGUAACAGAAUUUCGUCCAAAGAGACUGAAAAGAACUGAUGUAUCACUUUUAUUUAGUUGAAUAUAGCUGUCCUGCUCUGUUCAGGAGAAUAUUUUAACCAGAACCCAUAUAAUAUUGCCUGUACUGUAUGACUAAUUUCUACAGCAAUACUAAUUCAAUUCUGUAGCAAUUUAUUGACUUGGAGGGAAAUAAAUUGCUUGGCAGAAUAAUGGAAAGAAGAAAGACUCUAGCAGGAGGGUUAAGUAUGGCAGAUUUCAUUGACCACAGGAGUACUAACUAAUACAGUGAAACGAAGUUCCUAUAAGAACAAUAAAUAAGGAGCUUAAUAUAUCACGAGCAGGUACGACCUGCUUAAUCUUUGGAAAGGCACUGUGCUUUUGCCUGCUUGGAAAUUAGACUCCAUCUUGCCCAACAUACAAAUUGUUUCAGAGCCUCAAGCCAUUAAUUUGUAAGUAACACAGAAAAUAAUGGUUAUUAUUACAGUGCUUCAGCUAAUUUCAUCUCCAUAUCGUUGCCACGCUAAAUCGGGGAAAAACGGCUAAAAGAUGUAAAUUCUUCUUAAGAGGAAGGGGGGAGAGUGUUUGUGUGGCGGUGUUUUUUUUUUUUCCAAUAUUAUAGAUGAUGUUGAUAAACUCAUAUUAAGUGAAAACUGGGUUUAGCUCUUCUGUUCCCCUGCAGGUUAUACAAUUAUUAAAAUGCAGAGAUUAUAAUGUAAUUCAUUUAAAUCUGUUCUGAGGAAUGUGGAAUAAAAUAUUCUAAAUGACUCAGACUUGCUGAGUUUUUGAGGACCUUUUCAGAAAUGAAUUUCUAGGUGACUGAAUGAAUCCAGGAAGAUUAAGCAACAGAAAUACCCUGCUUAAGUAAUGAACUAGUCACGGCAGCCUUUAUGGACUAGGAACAGACAUUUUGGUCAUUUACCCUCCUUAGCUGAGUUGGAAACUGCCCUCCCUCAAUUCGCUUUUACUCUACUGUGGAAGUUUGUACAGAGCACUGAGGCUCUAACAAAUACCCCACUUAAAUGGUGAGAAUAUAACAACAUACCAGGUGAACAAAUGUUUUGUUAUUCAUGAGAAUAAUGCUGAGUUCAGAUUCCUAAUUUGUCAAACUGGAGACCAAGGUCAACAUUUAUUGUUGGGGCGAGCAGUCGUAACUGGUCUGAGAAGGUUAGAUCUUUGGAAAUUAUCCCAAUAUCAUCUCAGAAGAACACGUUUCUGUGAAACCUAGGUGUCCCCGCUAGUCCCCCCCAAAAAGCACAGGUUAUGCAGCCCUUCCAGGCAGACAAACUGGCAGAGCUGGGUCAGGAGAGGAUCUCAGAAUCACAAAGAAAAAUAAUGGGACUUCCCGCUCUUCACCUAGGCCGCUCUCCUCUCCCCGCUGAGCAGAGCUAGCACCGACCAUCCCCACAGUCUUAUGUGGCACCUCUCAUCCAUGGGCAGCAGUGAUGUCUCAGAGGUUGCCUGUAGGAUGGUGACACCCCUGAACAAUAUUUCUUUCACACAGGUGGAAACCAGAGGACAGAGGGCUGAAGGACUGGACUUCUGCAUGACUUAAACAGGAGUUGUAUGUCUGAUGCUGCACAUGGCAGGAGAGGCACCAGUUGUCUCAUCAGACGAGUCCCAGUGAUGGUAUCCCUGCUGCUGUUGGAGAAAGACUUUGUGCUUUGGGUAGUGUAACGACUCCCCAUCUUUUUGUAGCUGAGUCUGAGAGAACUGGGGAUGUUCUGCCUUCCACCUCCUGCUCCUGCUUCUGCCAGCUCAAGGAGCUCCACCACGCUUCCUGCCUCUCUGAGACCGUGCAGACACCCGAACUGGCCCUGCAGCGAAACCGCGGCAGAGCGUGUGCUAGGAUAGCUGAGGAGAUGGAUGAUUUUUUUGUCUGCUGGCUAAUCACCCAAGCUGGCAAAGAUAUUCUGAGAAAAGAAUCCCAAGGGAAGAAAUGCUGCAAAUGCACAGAAGAGCAUUUGCACACGUUUGCAAAUGCACAUCUUCAUCAAGGACAUAAGGCAGUGAGUGCCAAUGAACGACUGACCUCUCGGAUGACUCAUAUUCCCUCAUUCUAUAGGAAACUGUGCUGGUAAAGAGACGCGGAAUCAAACAGGGAUGUGGAUGUUCUCCUAACCCGCCUGAGUUUCACAUCUGAAUCAUCCAAAUGGGGUAUCUGUUAGCCGCCAAAUAAAGAAGAUGGAGCAGCCUAUUCACAUAGAACUGUAUUCAGCAAACCUAAAAGAUACACUAGAUCUCUGGUACAUCACAGGUAUUUGCUUAAAAUAAAUUGUGCAUUCACAAGUCUAUUUCCAUGUUCAAAAUACAGCAUUUAAUAGGUAUCUAAUUCCUUUGUGUACUGCUGCCAAUCUCUGUAAUGCAUUAUUGGCGAGAAUGCUGUUUUUCAACUCCUGAUUGCAAAACAGGCUCCUUUAUAUCUAGUUUCAGAAUUAUGACCUGCUUUGUCAUGCUGCUUUGACAGUUGUUCUUAGCAGGUAUGCUAGCACCAUGGCCAUGCAGUGAUUGAAUGCCAGUACUUUAUAGGCCAGGGCAGUUGUGCUGUACUUUAAUAAGCAAUUCAUUCUUGUUUCAGGGAAAAUAAAGUAUACAGCAUGCUAGAACAUGUGCACUUAAGUAAGCUAUAAAUCUAGAAAAAUGUCUGAACAGCUGAAUUCCAAGUGGCUUCAAUUUAUAUUUUUCUCUCUCUCUUAUUCCAGGCUCACCUCCCAUAGAUCAGCAUUACUGUGGUGUACUAUAUUUCAUAAGCAGUGAUAUAUUUCAUAAGAAAUAAGAACUCAUGCACUGAAAACAGGCCUCACAAUCAACAAGCAUACAUGCUGUCCCUAGACAUCAUGGGAGUUGCUGGGGAGCCCUACCAGUAGACUGUGAAGACAUCUUUGGCUGCAUCCAGUGGAAGUACUGAGAGCCAAAGGAUCAGAGUGAAUAACUGCUUGUCUAGAUUUGUUACUGGCAACAUACUCAGGGUUUUCUCUGAAGUCAUACUUGAGAUCAGAUAUAUGUUCAUUGCUUGAGUACUACUGCAAAAAAAUGUUACUGGUGCAUUAAAGUAAGUAUGCCACUGAGGUAGCAUGUGCAGUGAAGACUAAAUCCUGUAAUACAUCAUUUUGAUAUCUCUUAUAUAAGUUAUUUAAAACAGAUUAAAAUUGUUUCUGUACUAUUUUGUUUACUGAACAGACCAUGAUGCUAAGAAAAACCUGCACUGAAGGAAAUAAAAUAGUCAGACCCCUUAGAAGCAAGUGUCUUUUCACUUGCUUGAGCGUAUAAUACAAGUUUUAAUCAGACAAUAGUGAGCUCCAGUUUUUCUUUGUUCCCCAGGGCUUAAAGUUCUCCCUUGAAGACCAAUUGUUUUGUCUUACUGAAGUUCUUGCAGUUUGGUUUGAAGAAAGUGUUUACUGAUUAAACUAGUGACAGUUCUGUGGAGCUGCUAGAAAUUUUGAAAGGACAGUAUUUGCCUUUUUCGUAAAAGGCUAUUUGCUUUCAUUGAUAAUAGCUGUAGUAAUCAAGCCAUGCAAGUGAUAUAUAGGUGAACAAGCUGUUACAGUUUAGGCUGUGAUCACUGCUAGGGAAGUCCAGAUACCUUAGAAACUGAACAAGACUGCUUAGCUUGUUUCCUGUAAUACUGCCAAAACUGAUCAUUACUGUUUUCGUGCUUUAACAGGGUAGACAUGCUCUUUGCAAACCUCCCUUACUAUUAAAAACUGGGCAGUCUGUCACAGAAAUAGCAUAGGUCUCUCUGUUACAAGUAAAUAGCUGAAAGUCAAGAGGUUGACAGUGCAGAGUAAUAAAAAAAUCAUUGCUUGUUUAGUGGUUGCAAAUUGUCUCAUUAAGCAGCAUUAUUCUUUUUAUACAGUCUGUGAGUAAUUUUAUGUCUGUAGAGCAUUUUGGAUUGAGUGACAGUUCUGACAAUACAAGCUUCUAGCAUUAAUGAUGAGUAUAAUAUAUAGCAUCUGUGUAUAGCAGCAAGCAUUUUCUAAAUUAGGUGAUGGCAAUGAAUUAAUGCAGGCAUUGUACAGGUAAGCUUAUCUCAAGCUUUGGAACUGUGUGAAUAAAUUUAAUUAUAAGUUUAUCCCCUAUAUAAAUAUCAGGAAAUUAAAAGGAUUUUAUUAGAGCAA